GAUGAACGCUAGCGGCAGGCUUAACACAUGCAAGUCGAGGGCAGCAUAAUGGAUAGCAAUAUCUAUGGUGGCGACCGGCGCACGGGUGCGUAACGCGUAUGCAACCUACCUUUAACAGGGGGAUAACACUGAGAAAUUGGUACUAAUACCCCAUAAUAUCAUAGAAGGCAUCUUUAUGGUUGAAAUUCCGAUGGUUAGAGAUGGCAUGCGUUGUAUUAGCUAGUUGGUGGGGUAACGGCUCACUAAGGCGACGAUACAUAGGGGACUGAGAGGUUAACCCCCACACUGGUACUGAGACACGGACCAGACUCCUACGGGAGCAGCAGUGAGGAAUAGUGGUCAAUGGACAGAGUCUGAACCAGCCAAGUAGCGUGCAGGAUGACGG
Molecule: ribosomal RNA, 385 nt
Filed under: uncultured bacterium
Lineage: Bacteria
Description: bacterial SSU rRNA
Rfam family: Bacterial small subunit ribosomal RNA
Source: RNAcentral